RNAcentral lists this ribosomal RNA (468 nucleotides) under uncultured bacterium. RNAcentral describes it as "partial 16S ribosomal RNA". It matches the Rfam family "Bacterial small subunit ribosomal RNA", at positions 28 to 507 of the family's 1533-position model. The record is from RNAcentral.
GACGAACGCUGGCGGCGUGCUUAACACAUGCAAGUCGAACGGAAAGGCCCUGCUUUUGUGGGGUGCUCGAGUGGCGAACGGGUGAGUAACACGUGAGUAACCUGCCCUUGACUUUGGGAUAACUUCAGGAAACUGGGGCUAAUACCGGAUAGGAGCUCCUGCUGCAUGGUGGGGGUUGGAAAGUUUCGGCGGUUGGGGAUGGACUCGCGGCUUAUCAGCUUGUUGGUGGGGUAGUGGCUUACCAAGGCUUUGACGGGUAGCCGGCCUGAGAGGGUGACCGGCAACAUUGGGACUGAGAUGCGGCCGAGACUCCUACGGGAGGCAGCAGUGGGGAAUAUUGCACAAUGGGAGGAAGCCUGAUGCAGCAACGCCGCGUGCGGGAUGACGGCCUUCGGGUUGUAAACCGCUUUCGCCUGUGACGAAGCGUGAGUGACGGUAAUGGGUAAAGAAGCACCGGAUAACUACGUG